RNAcentral lists this ribosomal RNA (301 nucleotides) under uncultured bacterium. RNAcentral describes it as "partial 16S ribosomal RNA". It matches the Rfam family "Bacterial small subunit ribosomal RNA", at positions 509 to 807 of the family's 1533-position model. The record is from RNAcentral.
CAGCAGCCACGGGAAUACGAGGGGGGCAAGCGUUGUUCGGAAUUAUUGGGCGUAAAGGGCGCGUAGGCGGUUUGGCAAGUUUGGUGUGAAAUCUUCGGGCUCAACUCGAAGUCUGCAUCGAAAACUGCCGGGCUUGAGUAUGGGAGAGGUGAGUGGAAUUUCCGGUGUAGCGGUGAAAUGCGUAGAUAUCGGAAGGAACACCUGUGGCGAAAGCGGCUCACUGGACCAUAACUGACGCUGAGGCGCGAAAGCUAGGGGAGCAAACAGGAUUAGAUACCCCCGUAGUCCCUGUCUCUUAUAC